UACGUAGGGUCCGAGCGUUGUCCGGAAUUAUUGGGCGUAAAGAGCUCGUAGGCGGUCUGUCGCGUCUGGUGUGAAAAAUCCAGGGCUUAACCCUGGACCUGCAUCGGGUACGGGCAGACUAGAGGUAUGCAGGGGGAGAACGGAAUUCCUGGUGUAGCGGUGAAAUGCGCAGAUAUCAGGAGGAACACCGGUGGCGAAGGCGGUUCUCUGGGCAUUACCUGACGCUGAGGAGCGAAAGUGUGGGGAGCGAACAGG
RNAcentral lists this ribosomal RNA (255 nucleotides) under uncultured bacterium. RNAcentral's name for it is "partial 16S ribosomal RNA". It matches the Rfam family "Bacterial small subunit ribosomal RNA", at positions 524 to 776 of the family's 1533-position model. The record is from RNAcentral.